Molecule: ribosomal RNA, 482 nt
Filed under: uncultured bacterium
Lineage: Bacteria
Description: partial 16S ribosomal RNA
Rfam family: Bacterial small subunit ribosomal RNA
Source: RNAcentral
AUUGAACGCUGGCGGCAUGCUUUACACAUGCAAGUCGAACGGUAACAGGCCGCAAGGUGCUGUCGAGUGGCGAACGGGUGAGUAAUGCAUCGGAACGUGCCCAGUCGUGGGGGAUAACUACUCGAAAGAGUAGCUAAUACCGCAUACGAUCUAUGGAUGAAAGCGGGGGACCGUAAGGCCUCGCGCGAUUGGAGCGGCCGAUGUCAGAUUAGGUAGUUGGUGGGGUAAAGGCUCACCAAGCCAACGAUCUGUAGCUGGUCUGAGAGGACAACCAGCCACACUGGGACUGAGACACGGCCCAGACUCCUACGGGAGGCAGCAGUGGGGAAUUUUGGACAAUGGGCGCAAGCCUGAUCCAGCAAUGCCGCGUGCAGGAAGAAGGCCUUCGGGUUGUAAACUGCUUUUGUACGGAACGAAACGGCUCUGGUUAAUACCCGGGGCUAAUGACGGUACCGUAAGAAUAAGCACUGGCUAACUACGUG